This 458-nucleotide ribosomal RNA is filed under the name uncultured bacterium. RNAcentral describes it as "partial 16S ribosomal RNA". It matches the Rfam family "Bacterial small subunit ribosomal RNA", at positions 355 to 804 of the family's 1533-position model. The record is from RNAcentral.
UAGGGAAUCUUCCACAAUGGACGCAAGUCUGAUGGAGCAACGGCCGCGUGAGUGAAGAAGGCUUUCGGGUCGUAAAGCUCUGUUAUUGAAGAAGAACGUGUGUGACAGUAACUGGUCAUGCAGUGACGGUAUUCAAUCAGAAAGUCACGGCUAACUACGUGCCAGCAGCCGCGGUAAUACGUAGGUGGCAAGCGUUGUCCGGAUUUAUUGGGCGUAAAGCGAGUGCAGGCGGUCUUUUAAGUCUGAUGUGAAAGCCUUCGGCUUAACCGAAGAAGGGCAUCGGAAACUGGGAGACUUGAGUGCAGAAGAGGAGAGUGGAACUCCAUGUGUAGCGGUGAAAUGCGUAGAUAUAUGGAAGAACACCAGUGGCGAAGGCGGCUCUCUGGUCUGUAACUGACGCUGAGGCUCGAAAGCGUGGGUAGCAAACAGGAUUAGAUACCCUGGUAGUCCACGCCGUA